GCAGAUGUAGCUCAAUGGUAGAGCGUUCGCUUCCCAAGCCAAAAACGCGGGUUCGAUUCCCGUCAUCUGCUCCA
Molecule: transfer RNA, 74 nt
Filed under: Clostridia bacterium
Lineage: Bacteria; Bacillati; Bacillota; Clostridia
Description: tRNA-Gly
Rfam family: tRNA
About the family: Transfer RNA (tRNA) molecules are approximately 80 nucleotides in length. Their secondary structure includes four short double-helical elements and three loops (D, anti-codon, and T loops).
Source: RNAcentral